GUGCCAGCAGCCGCGGUAAUACAGAGGUCCCAAGCGUUGUUCGGAUUCAUUGGGCGUAAAGGGUGCGUAGGUGGCGAGGCAAGUCAGGUGUGAAAUCCCAGGGCUCAACCCUGGAACUGCACUUGAUACUACUUUGCUUGAGUACUGGAGAGGAGAUUGGAAUUUACGGUGUAGCAGUGAAAUGCGUAGAUAUCGUAAGGAAGACCAGUGGCGAAGGCGAAUCUCUGGACAGUUACUGACACUGAGGCACGAAGGCCAGGGGAGCAAACGGGAUUAGAUACCCCGGUAGUCC
Molecule: ribosomal RNA, 292 nt
Filed under: uncultured bacterium
Lineage: Bacteria
Description: partial 16S ribosomal RNA
Rfam family: Bacterial small subunit ribosomal RNA
Source: RNAcentral